CUAAGGCGAGGCCGAAAGGCGUAGUCGAUGGGAAACAGGUUAAUAUUCCUGUACUUGGUGUUACUGCGAAGGGGGGACGGAGAAGGCUAUGUUGGCCGGGCGACGGUUGUCCCGGUUUAAGCGUGUAGGCUGGUUUUCCAGGCAAAUCCGGAAAAUCAAGGCUGAGGCGUGAUGACGAGGCACUACGGUGCUGAAGCAACAAAUGCCCUGCUUCCAGGAAAAGCCUCUAAGCAUCAGGUAACAUCAAAUCGUACCCCAAACCGACACAGGUGGUCAGGUAGAGAAUACCAAGGCGCUUGAGAGAACUCGGGUGAAGGAACUAGGCAAAAUGGUGCCGUAACUUCGGGAGAAGGCACGCUGAUAUGUAGGUGAAGUCCCUUGCGGAUGGAGCUGAAAUCAGUCGAAGAUACCAGCUGGCUGCAACUGUUUAUUAAAAACACAGCACUGUGCAAACACGAAAGUGGACGUAUACGGUGUGACGCCUGCCCGGUGCCGGAAGGUUAAUUGAUGGGGUCAGCGCAAGCGAAGCUCUUGAUCGAAGCCCCGGUAAACGGCGGCCGUAACUAUAACGGUCCUAAGGUAGCGAAAUUCCUUGUCGGGUAAGUUCCGACCUGCACGAAUGGCGUAAUGAUGGCCAGGCUGUCUCCACCCGAGACUCAGUGAAAUUGAACUCGCUGUGAAGAUGCAGUGUACCCGCGGCAAGACGGAAAGACCCCGUGAACCUUUACUAUAGCUUGACACUGAACAUUGAGCCUUGAUGUGUAGGAUAGGUGGGAGGCUUUGAAGUGUGGACGCCAGUCUGCAUGGAGCCGGCCUUGAAAUACCACCCUUUAAUGUUUGAUGUUCUAACGUGGACCCGUGAUCCGGGUUGCGGACAGUGUCUGGUGGGUAGUUUGACUGGGGCGGUCUCCUCCUAAAGAGUAACGGAGGAGCACGAAGGUUGGCUAAUCCUGGUCGGACAUCAGGAGGUUAGUGCAAUGGCAUAAGCCAGCUUGACUGCGAGCGUGACGGCGCGAGCAGGUGCGAAAGCAGGUCAUAGUGAUCCGGUGGUUCUGAAUGGAAGGGCCAUCGCUCAACGGAUAAAAGGUACUCCGGGGAUAACAGGCUGAUACCGCCCAAGAGUUCAUAUCGACGGCGGUGUUUGGCACCUCGAUGUCGGCUCAUCACAUCCUGGGGCUGAAGUAGGUCCCAAGGGUAUGGCUGUUCGCCAUUUAAAGUGGUACGCGAGCUGGGUUUAGAACGUCGUGAGACAGUUCGGUCCCUAUCUGCCGUGGGCGCUGGAGAACUGAGGGGGGCUGCUCCUAGUACGAGAGGACCGGAGUGGACGCAUCACUGGUGUUCGGGUUGUCAUGCCAAUGGCACUGCCCGGUAGCUAAAUGCGGAAGAGAUAAGUGCUGAAAGCAUCUAAGCACGAAACUUGCCCCGAGAUGAGUUCUCCCUGACCCUUUAAGGGUCCUGAAGGAACGUUGAAGACGACGACGUUGAUAGGCCGGGUGUGUAAGCGCAGCGAUGCGUUGAGCUAACCGGUACUAAUGAACCGUGAG
This 1544-nucleotide ribosomal RNA is filed under the name Escherichia coli. Its description in RNAcentral is "partial 23S ribosomal RNA". It matches the Rfam family "Bacterial large subunit ribosomal RNA", at positions 1391 to 2915 of the family's 2925-position model. RNAcentral also lists the same sequence under 1 other name. The record is from RNAcentral. Lineage: Bacteria; Pseudomonadati; Pseudomonadota; Gammaproteobacteria; Enterobacterales; Enterobacteriaceae.